GAACUCACAAUCACCGAUGAAUCU
Molecule: non-coding RNA, 24 nt
Filed under: Arabidopsis thaliana (thale cress)
Lineage: Eukaryota; Viridiplantae; Streptophyta; Magnoliopsida; Brassicales; Brassicaceae
Source: RNAcentral